AUUGAACGCUGGCGGCAGGCCUAACACUUGCAAGUCGAGCGAGUGGCGGACGGGUGAGUAAUGUCUGGGGAUCUGCCCGAUAGAGGGGGAUAAAUACUGGAAACGGUGGAUAAUACCGCAUACUAUCGGAUGAACCCAUAUGGGAUUAGCUAGUAGGUGGGGGAAAGGCGCACCUAGGCGACGAUCCCUAGCUGGUCUGAGAGGAUGAUCAGCCACAAUGGAACUGAGACACGGCCCAGCCUCCUACGGGAGGCAGCAGUGGGGAAUAUUGCACAAUGGGCGAAAGCCUGAGGCAGCCAUGCCGCGUGUAUGAAGAAGGCCUUCGGGUUGUAAAGUACUUUCAGCGGGGAGGCGUUACCCGCAGAAGAAGCACCGGCUAACUCCGUGCCAGCAGCCGCGGUAAUUC
Molecule: ribosomal RNA, 406 nt
Filed under: uncultured bacterium
Lineage: Bacteria
Description: partial 16S ribosomal RNA
Rfam family: Bacterial small subunit ribosomal RNA
Source: RNAcentral